GGGCCAUCGCUCAACGGAUAAAAGCUACCCUGGGGAUAACAGGCUUAUCUCCCCCAAGAGUCCACAUCGACGGGGAGGUUUGGCACCUCGAUGUCGGCUCAUCCCAUCCUGGGGCUGUAGUAGGUCCCAAGGGUUGGGCUGUUCGCCCAUUAAAGUGGUACGCGAGCUGGGUUCAGAACGUCGUGAGACAGUUCGGUCCCUAU
RNAcentral lists this ribosomal RNA (203 nucleotides) under Clostridioides difficile. RNAcentral describes it as "partial 23S ribosomal RNA". It matches the Rfam family "Bacterial large subunit ribosomal RNA", at positions 2439 to 2641 of the family's 2925-position model. The record is from RNAcentral. Lineage: Bacteria; Bacillati; Bacillota; Clostridia; Peptostreptococcales; Peptostreptococcaceae.